GCCGAGGUGGUGAAACAGGUAUACACGCGGGCCUUAAGAGCCCGUGGAGCUAAACACUCCGUGUGGGUUCGACCCCCACCCUCGGCA
RNAcentral lists this transfer RNA (87 nucleotides) under Candidatus Gottesmanbacteria bacterium. Its description in RNAcentral is "tRNA-Leu". It matches the Rfam family "tRNA". From Rfam's summary of the family: Transfer RNA (tRNA) molecules are approximately 80 nucleotides in length. Lineage: Bacteria; Candidatus Gottesmaniibacteriota. The record is from RNAcentral.